UAAGGAAUAUUGGUCAAUGGACGCAAGUCUGAACCAGCCAUGCCGCGUGAAGGAUUAAGGCCCUCUGGGUUGUAAACUUCUUUUAUAGGGGAAGAAAUGUGACGGUUCUCCGUCACUUGACGGUACCCUGGGAAUAAGCACCGGCUAACUCCGUGCCAGCAGCCGCGGUAAUACGGAGGGUGCAAGCGUUAUCCGGAUUCACUGGGUUUAAAGGGUGCGUAGGUGGGCAGAUAAGUCAGUGGUGAAAUCUUCCGGCUUAACCGGGAAACUGGCGUUGAUACUAUUUGUCUUGAAUAUUGCGGAGGUAAGCGUAAUAUUUCAUGUAGCGGUGAAAUGCUUAGAUAUGACAGAGAACACCCAUUGCGAAGGCAGCUUACUACACAAUCAUUGACACUGAGGCACGAAAGCGUGGGUAGCGAACA
Molecule: ribosomal RNA, 422 nt
Filed under: uncultured bacterium
Lineage: Bacteria
Description: bacterial SSU rRNA
Rfam family: Bacterial small subunit ribosomal RNA
Source: RNAcentral